CCUUGGUUAGCUCAGUUGGUAGAGCGCUCCACUGGAUAUAGAGAGGUCUCUGGUUUGAUACAAGGACCAUGGC
Molecule: transfer RNA, 73 nt
Filed under: Ixodes scapularis (black-legged tick)
Lineage: Eukaryota; Metazoa; Arthropoda; Arachnida; Ixodida; Ixodidae
Rfam family: tRNA
About the family: Transfer RNA (tRNA) molecules are approximately 80 nucleotides in length.
Source: Rfam by way of RNAcentral